This 1953-nucleotide small RNA is filed under the name Arabidopsis thaliana (thale cress). Its description in RNAcentral is "ATSL210070". The record is from RNAcentral. Lineage: Eukaryota; Viridiplantae; Streptophyta; Magnoliopsida; Brassicales; Brassicaceae.
UUUUUGGGAAAUAAAAUAAAUAACCAAAUGAACUGCAAAACGAAAAAUGAUAAGAAACAAAAAUAAAAGCAUCAUUAGUAAGAACCUCUCCUAGACUUAAACGACACAGUCCCCAGUGGCAUUCAAAUCCAGAGAAAGCGGGAAAAAUAAAUUAAAAAUAAAAGAAAAUAAAAGAAAGGGAAAAGAAAAAUAAAACCAAUGGGUUGCCUCCCACUAAGCGCUUGUUUGGAGUUAGUAGCUUGACUUGGCGGAGUUUAGGAUGUGGGUGGAGUGGUGGGGUGGAUUGUUGCUGCAUCCUUGCCUUCCAAGGCGGUGUGUAAACGGAUCUGGUUGGAGCAGCUACUGGUGUCGAUCGACACUCAGUGGUGUGUCGAUCGACACUCUUCUCGUCAUCUGCAAAAACAACAGGAGAAACAAGCUUUCGAGGGACUCUAGGCUUGUUAUCUUGUGAAGCAGUCUUCGAAUAAUCCAAGGAAAUAAUCAAAGAUAAACUAGGAGAGGAGAUAGAAGAAAACUUGUCACAUAGGUCCUCAAGUGGUGUGGGCUGAAGAGAAUGUGCAGAAUCCUCUGUCUGUGAAACCCGUGGGUGUCGAUCGACAGAGGUAGUAGUGUCGAUCGACACUGUUGCCCUGCAACUCUCAUUGGCGAGCUGAACGGGAUGGAGCGUUGUGUGUGGCUCUGUGGUGGGAUUCUGAUCAGUCUGGGGAGGUGUGUCGGUGCUGGAGGCAAUGCAACUGAUAGGCUUAGUAAGCUCUAAACUAUCCAUGCCAAACUCCAUCUCUGAAUCACAAACCUUGAGAAAGAUUCUCCCUCUCUUCACAUCAAACCUAGCAGCAGCUGUAGCUAGGAAUGCUCUUCCAAGGAUAAGGGGAUUCUUGGGUUCCUUCUCAUAGUCCAGGACCACGAAAUCAGCAGGGAUUAUGGAGUUACCAACCUUAACAGGAACAUCUUCAAGGAUUCCUUCAGAGAUUCGCUUGGAACGAUCCGCGAAGAGAAGAGUGAUGCGAGUAGGUCUGUACUGAGUCAUGCCUAGUCUCUCAACAACAGACUUGGACAUGAGGUUGAUGCUUGAUCCCAAAUCACACAAAGAGCGGCUGAAUCUGCUUGUGGAGAUAGAGCAAUCAAGGACAAAGCUACCUGGAUCCGGAAGUUUCUCAGUGGUCAGACCAGGAGUAAUGGUGCGGAUGUACUCAGCUAUAUCUACUCUCUGUGCCUUCUCCUUCUUGGCCUUAGGCAGCAUGAUUGCACAGAUGUCUCUGGUAAGCAGCUUAGCUUCAUCUGAACUAAUUCCAUUGUCAACAAGUUGCUUGACAUACCUGUUGAGUGAUGCGGAAGAUGUCUCUGAAGCAUCCGUAGGAAGAAUAUGGAGGAUCUUCUCCAUUAUGGUUGUGCACUUAGCAACAUGAAUCUCCUGCUUAGAACGACGCCUCCUCGGAUAGGGGACAUGAGGAGUGUAAACCGGCUCGAGCUGCAUAGGUACUUGCACCUCACAAGGUGCAGUCCGGAUCCAGUGUCGAUCGAUACUAGAGGGAUAUCGAUCGACACCGUCGUAUUGUGUCAUCUCUGAAAAGAGCAUCCCAUAUGGUGUCGAUCGAUACAUGAGGGUGUCGGUCGACACCAUCUCUGCAACUGCGAGCUCCAACUCGUCUUCAGUGUCCAAUUCCUCCCACACAUCAUCUCCUUCUCUGAUCAAGAUGGCAUUACAGCUCUUCCUUGGGUUAGCAUCAGGAUUACCAGGAAGAAAACCCUCUUGUCUCUUGAUAGAUUGUGUAGUUUGAGCUACCUGUACAUCUAGCUUCUUCAAGUGAGAGCUUAGAUUGUCGAUCUUCCCAUUAAGAUCUAUGUAGACAGCAUCAAACUUGCCAUUAAACUCCACAACAAGCUUUGUUUGGCUCUCCAGAAUCUGCUCAAGCAUCGAUUCCAUUCUUGUCUCUGAUGAGGGUGGAGGGGGGG